This 1328-nucleotide ribosomal RNA is filed under the name uncultured Anaerococcus sp. RNAcentral's name for it is "bacterial SSU rRNA". It matches the Rfam family "Bacterial small subunit ribosomal RNA", at positions 30 to 1360 of the family's 1533-position model. The record is from RNAcentral. Lineage: Bacteria; Bacillati; Bacillota; Tissierellia; Tissierellales; Peptoniphilaceae.
UGAUACGCUGGCGGCGUGCAUACUCAUGCAGUCGAACGAUGAAACUUUAAUGAACCCUUCGGGGAGAAUUAAAGCGGAUUAGUGGCGAACGGGUGAGUAACGCGUGAGUAACCUGCCUUACACAAGGGGAUAGCCUUUGGAAACGAAGAAUAAUACCCUAUAAAACCAUAAAAGCACAUGCAAUUAUGGUCAAAGUGAUAGCGGUGUAAGAUGGACUUGCGUCUGAUUAGCUAGUUGGUGAGAUAAAAGCCCACCAAGGCAACGAUCAGUAGCCGGCUUGAGAGAGUGUACGGCCACAUUGGGACUGAGACACGGCCCAGACUCCUACGGGAGGCAGCAGUGGGGAAUUUUGCACAAUGGGGGAAACCCUGAUGCAGCGACGCCGCGUGAUUUAGAAGGCCUUCGGGUUGUAAAAAUCUUUUGUAUCAGGAAGAAAAUGACAGUACUAUACGAAUAAGGUCCGGCUAAUUACGUGCCAGCAGCCGCGGUAAUACGUAAGGACCGAGCGUUGUCCGGAAUCAUUGGGCGUAAAGGGUACGUAGGCGGUAGAAAAGUUAGAAGUCAAAGGCUAUAGCUCAACUAUAGUAAGCUUCUAAAACUAUUUAGCUUGAGCAGAUGGACAGGGAAAGUGGAAUUCCUAGUGUAGCGGUGGAAUGCGCAGAUAUUAGGAGGAAUACCGGUGGCGAAGGCGACUUUCUGGCCAUUUUCUGACGCUGAGGUACGAAAGCGUGGGUAGCAAACAGGAUUAGAUACCUGGUAGUCCACGCCGUAAACGAUGAGUGUUAGGUGUCUGGAGUCAAAUCUGGGUGCCGCAGCAAACGCAUUAAACACUCCGCCUGGGGAGUACGCACGCAAGUGUGAAACUCAAAGGAAUUGACGGGGACCCGCACAAGCAGCGGAGCAUGUGGUUUAAUUCGACGCAACGCGAAGAACCUUACCAAGUCUUGACAUAUUUUAGAAGCAAUUAGAGAUAAUUGCCUAUAUCUUCGGAUAACUAAAAUACAGGUGGUGCAUGGUUGUCGUCAGCUCGUGUCGUGAGAUGUUGGGUUAAGUUCCCCAUAACGGAGCGCAACCCCUAUUGCUAGUUACCAUCAUUAAGUUGGGGACUCUAGUAAUACUGCCGGUGACAAACCGGAGGAAGGUGGGGAUGACGUCAAAUCAUCAUGCCCUUUAUGACUUGGGCUACACACGUGCUACAAUGGCAGGUACACAGGGAAGCAAGACUGUGAAGUUAAGCAAACUCAAAAAGCCUGUCCCAGUUCGGAUUGCACUCUGCAACUCGAGUGCAUGAAGUUGGAGUGCUAGAAUCGCAGUCAGAUCCUCGNCUU